GAUGAACGCUGGCGGCGUGCUUAACACAUGCAAGUCGAACGAAGCACUUUAUUUGAUUUCCUUCGGGACUGAUUAUUUUGUGACUGAGUGGCGGACGGGUGAGUAACGCGUGGGUAACCUGCCUUGUACAGGGGGAUAACAGUUGGAAACGGCUGCUAAUACCGCAUAAGCGCACAGCAUCGCAUGAUGCAGUGUGAAAAACUCCGGUGGUAUAAGAUGGACCCGCGUUGGAUUAGCUAGUUGGUGAGGUAACGGCCCACCAAGGCGACGAUCCAUAGCCGACCUGAGAGGGUGACCGGCCACAUUGGGACUGAGACACGGCCCAAACUCCUACGGGAGGCAGCAGUGGGGAAUAUUGCACAAUGGGCGAAAGCCUGAUGCAGCGACGCCGCGUGAGCGAAGAAGAAUUUCGGUAUGUAAAGCUCUAUCAGCAGGGAAGAUAAUGACGGUACCUGACUAAGAAGCACCGGCUAAAUACGUG
RNAcentral lists this ribosomal RNA (481 nucleotides) under uncultured bacterium. RNAcentral describes it as "partial 16S ribosomal RNA". It matches the Rfam family "Bacterial small subunit ribosomal RNA", at positions 28 to 507 of the family's 1533-position model. The record is from RNAcentral.